Molecule: ribosomal RNA, 322 nt
Filed under: uncultured eukaryote
Lineage: Eukaryota
Description: partial 18S ribosomal RNA
Rfam family: Eukaryotic small subunit ribosomal RNA
Source: RNAcentral
CCCUUAGAUGUUCUGGGCCGCACGCGCGCUACACUGAUGCAUUCAACGAGUUUUUCCUGGUCCGAGAGGAAUGGGUAACCUUUUGAAAGUGCAUCGUGCUAGGGAUAGACUAUUGCAAUUAUUGGUCUUCAACGAGGAAUUCCUAGUAGACGUAGUUCAUCAGACUGCAUCGAUUACGUCCCUGCCCUUUGUACACACCGCCCGUCGCUCCUACCGAUUGGAUGAUCCGGUGAGCUAUUCGGACCUUCGCUUCGUCGAUUUUCGGCUUUGUGAAGGAAAGUCUCGCGAACCUUAUCAUCUAGAGGAAGGAGAAGUCGUAACA